UACAGAGGGUGCAAGCGUUAAUCGGAAUUACUGGGCGUAAAGCGUGCGUAGACGGUUACAUAAGUCGGGUGUGAAAGCCCCGGGCUCAACCUGGGAAUUGCAUUCGAGACUGCGUAGCUAGGGUGCGGAAGAGGGAAGCGGAAUUUCCGGUGUAGCGGUGAAAUGCGUAGAUAUCCGAAGGAACAUCAGUGGCGAAAGCGGCUUCCUGGACCAGAACUGACGAUCAGGCACGAAAGCGUGGGGAGCAAACAGG
RNAcentral lists this ribosomal RNA (253 nucleotides) under uncultured bacterium. RNAcentral describes it as "partial 16S ribosomal RNA". It matches the Rfam family "Bacterial small subunit ribosomal RNA", at positions 524 to 776 of the family's 1533-position model. The record is from RNAcentral.